GCUGCCUCAGCAGCUGCUGCUGAUCCGGAUCAAAAGCGAGGCUGAAUACCUGUUUCUCCAUUCUGCACUCCCUCCGGGAACCUGGAAGCUCAGCAGGAGAUGAAGUGGCUGGAGGCGUGUGAGUCCUGCACUUGAUAGAGGCGGAUUCUGUCAAGCCUUACCUGGAUGGUGUGUGUGACUAUCCCCAUAGAAACGAGCAGGCUGUCUCAUGAAGCCUCCAUUCUAGCCUUUUGUGAUCACCUGUGAUCUUAGAGGGCUCCUCUACAACCCCGAGUCCCAAAUAGGUGACUACAAAGUGGGCUCACACUUAUUUCUCCACUAUUCCUGUGUUCUUUCAGGGGGCUGACCAUCAAACCUACUUAGAAAUCAGACCUUGAAUAAGAGUUCUGCUACAAAUGGAAGACUGAAAACUACCUGGGAGAAAUUAAAAAACAAGCAAACACAUGAACAAAAGUCCAUGCAUCAGGGGAAACAUGCCACCAUCACCUCUCGGGCGUGAACUCCUCUGCUUCACUCCGUCAGUUCCAACCCCGCUCACUCUUUGGAUUCUUAGAGCAUCAAACAGCCAGGAGCAACCCCGCCUGCGCCUGCAGACUUUGGGGCUUGUUGGUUCCUGUAUCGGGAACGUGCUCUCCCUUCUUUCAAGUUUUUUCUCAUCACCUUCUUGGUAAGUUCCCUUCUGAUUAUGUCAUUAAGAUUACAACCCACCCUCCGCACGCCGUGGCCUGCCUUUGCUUUAUCUUUCUACUUAGUGUGAAUUGCCGCCUGAAACAUGACGUGUUUUUUCGACUCAGUACUUACGUCCUUCUCCUCCCAAAGCUGUAAUUAAGAUCCAUGAAGGCGGGGGCUCUGUCUGUUUUGUUCAUGAUGCCCUCCCUGCACUGAGAACAGUACAGGCACAGGAAGGACUGCCAAUCAUUGUGUGUUGGGUUAAUGAAUGAAACAAUAAAUAAAUGAAUACCAAGCC
This 967-nucleotide long non-coding RNA is filed under the name Macaca nemestrina (pig-tailed macaque). Its description in RNAcentral is "lncRNA (ENSMNEG00000046148.1)". Lineage: Eukaryota; Metazoa; Chordata; Mammalia; Primates; Cercopithecidae. The record is from RNAcentral.